This 235-nucleotide unclassified non-coding RNA is filed under the name uncultured fungus. Its description in RNAcentral is "sequence contains ITS1, 5.8S rRNA gene". The stretch from base 187 to 235 matches the Rfam family "5.8S ribosomal RNA", at positions 1 to 49 of the family's 154-position model. Lineage: Eukaryota; Fungi. The record is from RNAcentral.
UCUCCGUUGGUGAACCUGCGGAGGGAUCAUUACCGAGAGAGGGCCGUCAAACGCCCGACCUCCCAACCCUUUGUCGAAUCAAACCACGUUGCCUCGGGGGGCGCCUCGUCGUCUUCCGGCGAGCACCCCCAGGGGACCAACCAACUCUGCGUCUCUGCGUCGGAGUAUUGAAACUAAAUCAAUCAAAACUUUCAACAACGGAUCUCUUGGUUCUGGCAUCGAUGAAGAACGCAGC